Long non-coding RNA from Vidua chalybeata, 1921 nucleotides. RefSeq lists it as uncharacterized. The record is from RefSeq and is a predicted model, not a curated record. The transcript has 4 exons. NCBI's taxonomy places the organism in Eukaryota, Metazoa, Chordata, Aves, Passeriformes, Viduidae.
UUAAAGGACUGCAGCUAUAAUUUUUUUGUCGUUGCAUGCAUUAGUGUCAAGUCUCCCGUUACACUCUGUUAGCGCCUGGGAAGACAGGCGGCAAGUUCUCGACGCGGAUCUCGAGCAGCAGGGCCUCCCUCGGCCGCCCACCCCCGGGGCCCUGCAGGGGCGGAGGGGGCCGGCUGCCACCCGCCGGGCUCAGCCCGCCCUCUGCCAGCGCCGGAGCGCUCCCGGCGGCCGCGCAGCCCCGGCUCCGCUUCCAGCGGGCACGGGAGGCACAGAAAAACCCCCACGCCACCGAGCCCGGCCACUCAAGGGCCGCCCAAGUUUCUCUCUCUGGGGGAAGGCGGUCUCACCGCCGAGGAGCAGGCUGCCCGCCGCGAGGUGCCCGGAGAGCAGGACUCGGACGGCGGCGGGGCCCCCUCACGGCUCCCCCGGCGCGGCGGGGGCCGCGGGCGCUCCGUGGGGAGGCGCCGCCCCCCGCCCCCGGGGGCCCUGCCCGGAUGGGCGCCGGAGUUGGUUCCGGCUUCCCCUCCUCGACUGAAAUCAACCGCAGUCUUUCUCCAUCGCUACUGUUCUGCCUUUUUCAACGCGGGGGUUUGUUUUGCCGUGUAAAUCCAUUCAUGCUCCAGAUGCAAGCAUGCUGUUGUAUCAGGUCUCCUCGUUACAUUGGCCUGCUAAAUCACUAGCAAGACAAACCAGUGCCGCCGAGAGAAGCACUCCAUUACAAGGUGUCUUUAGUCAUUAAUGGAUGAUGGAAGCAACCCCCUGCAGCUUCCCUGUUUACCAUCCAUCCAGAAGGAGAAAACAGAGACUUGCAGGAUAAUUCAGGUUGAAAGGAAUCUCAGGAGGACGUCAAGUAAAACCCUCUGUUGCAGAGAGUUUACUUUACUUUCCCCUCUACAGCAGGCAGCUGAAGACUUUGUCAAGUUCAGAAUGUCUCUGCAAACACAGAUUCCAUCAUCUUCCCAGGCACCCUUUGCUGGUCGUUCCCUGCAUAUGCAUAAGCUCAGUUCUAAAACUGUUCCCACCCUAUUUCCACAGUCACUCCAGUUUCUUUAAAUUUGCAGCUAGGAGACAGCAACAACAAUUCCAUGAGAGCAGUAGGAGCCUGGUAACGGGCAGAGAGGAAGUCCAGCAGACUUGAAGAGGUAAUUUCCCCUGGAUUUAUGGAAAGGGGAGAAGCAAUCCUGUUGAUACUUAAUUUAUAGUUAUCUACAACUAAUGAGCACUAAGAAGGAAAAGCAAAAUUUUAGCAGUGAGACAGCAAGAGAAAGAACUGGUAGAGCCAAAAACUUAUUUGCAGAUGCCCUUUUUCCUCAAUUGAGCUAAAUUCAGGUUCAACUCAAACAUUGCACCUCAGGGUGAAAUAAUUCAGAAAAGUUGCUGAUGGGUAGAAGAGUCCAGUUGGUGUCUUUCUUCACUCCCUCAGUAUUUUCUGUGUCAAUACAGGUUUUUUUCUGUUCUCUUUCUGUCACUGCAAGUCUUAUCGGGUCUCUGGACAGUGGCAGGUUGUAGGUGAAAUUCCCAAAACCUGAGAAUAGCAGCAAGUUGUUUUUCUACUAUGUAUAUACUCAUCCCUCUGUGUCUGUGUGACACUUUCUCUGUAACACAAUUUAUGUUCAGGCUGGCUGGCCUGCUGCUACAGCUUUCAGUUAAAAAGCACAGGAAUUAUUGGGUAGCUUUAUCUUUCUGCAGCUGUCGUCUUUUUCCAUCAUACCUGACCUGCUAGUGUUGAAAGAUGCCUCUUGUCUGAAAAGCUCUGAUACUAACAAGAGAAACACUGAUCUGUAGGAUUUCAGAGGAAAAAGGCAAAAAUGCUCCUGUCCAAUAUGUGGUGAAAACUUCUGUACCACCGAUGUAGGCUCUGCUAGAAAAGCCGUGUUUUGACCAUAUUUGUGGUUGUCAUAAAAAUUAGUUUAUAUCUUAA